Molecule: ribosomal RNA, 930 nt
Filed under: uncultured bacterium
Lineage: Bacteria
Description: bacterial SSU rRNA
Rfam family: Bacterial small subunit ribosomal RNA
Source: RNAcentral
UAUUAUGUCCAUUAGAGUUUGAUCCUGGCUCAGGAUGAACGCUAGCUACAGGCUUAACACAUGCAAGUCGAGGGGAAACGAUAUUGGAAGCUUGCUUCCGAUAGGCGUCGACCGGCGCACGGGUGAGUAACGCGUAUCCAACCUGCCCACCACUUGGGGAUAACCUUGCGAAAGUAAGACUAAUACCCAAUGAUAUCUCUAGAAGACAUCUGAAGGAGAUUAAAGAUUUAUCGGUGAUGGAUGGGGAUGCGUCUGAUUAGCUUGUUGGCGGGGUAACGGCCCAUCAAGGCGACGAUCAGUAGGGGUUCUGAGAGGAAGGUCCCCCACAUUGGAACUGAGACACGGUCCAAACUCCUACGGGAGGCAGCAGUGAGGAAUAUUGGUCAAUGGACGAGAGUCUGAACCAGCCAAGUAGCGUGCAGGAUGACGGCCCUAUGGGUUGUAAACUGCUUUUAUAAGGGAAUAAAGUGAGUCUCGUGAGACUUUUUGCAUGUACCUUAUGAAUAAGGACCGGCUAAUUCCGUGCCAGCAGCCGCGGUAAUACGGAAGGUCCGGGCGUUAUCCGGAUUUAUUGGGUUUAAAGGGAGCGUAGGCCGGAGAUUAAGCGUGUUGUGAAAUGUAGACGCUCAACGUCUGCACUGCAGCGCGAACUGGUUUCCUUGAGUACGCACAAAGUGGGCGGAAUUCGUGGUGUAGCGGUGAAAUGCUUAGAUAUCACGAAGAACUCCGAUUGCGAAGGCAGCUCACUGGAGCGCAACUGACGCUGAAGCUCGAAAGUGCGGGUAUCGAACAGGAUUAGAUACCCUGGUAGUCCGCACGGUAAACGAUGGAUGCUCGCUGUUUGCGUCUGACGUAAGUGGCCAAGCGAAAGCGUUAAGCAUCCCACCUGGGGAGUACGCCGGCAACGGUGAAACUCAAGGGAAUUGACGG